This 274-nucleotide ribosomal RNA is filed under the name uncultured bacterium. Its description in RNAcentral is "partial 16S ribosomal RNA". It matches the Rfam family "Bacterial small subunit ribosomal RNA", at positions 523 to 796 of the family's 1533-position model. The record is from RNAcentral.
AUACGGAGGGUGCAAGCGUUAUUCGGAAUCACUGGGCGUAAAGGACGCGUAGGCGGGUUGGCAAGUCAGAUGUGAAAUCCUACAGCUUAACUGUAGAACUGCAUUUGAAACUGCUAACCUAGAGUAUGAGAGGGGGAGAUGGAAUUAGUGGUGUAGGGGUAAAAUCCGUAGAUAUCACUAGGAAUACCGAAAGCGAAGGCGAUCUCCUGGAACAUAACUGACGCUAAGGCGUGAAAGCGUGGGGAGCAAACAGGAUUAGAAACCCUUGUAGUCC